Molecule: ribosomal RNA, 386 nt
Filed under: uncultured bacterium
Lineage: Bacteria
Description: bacterial SSU rRNA
Rfam family: Bacterial small subunit ribosomal RNA
Source: RNAcentral
GAUGAACGCUAGCGGGAGGCCUAACACAUGCAAGCCGAGCGGUAUUGUUUCUUCGGAAAUGAGAGAGCGGCGUACGGUGCGGAACACGUGUGCAACCUGCCUUUAUCUGGGGAUAGCCCUUCGAAGGAAGAUUAAUACUCCAUAACAUAUUGAACGGCAUCGUUUAAUAUUGAAAGCUCAGGCGGAUAGAGAUGGGCACGCGCAAGAUUAGCUAGUUGGUGAGGUAACGGCUCGCCAAGGCAAUGAUCUUUAGGGGGCCUGAGAGGUGAUCCCCACACUGGUACUGAGACACGGACCAGACUCCUACGGGAGGCAGCAGUGAGGAAUAUUGGUCAAAUGGGGCGCAAGCCUGAACCAGCCAUCCCGCGUGAAGGACGACUGCCCUA